Hyaena hyaena (striped hyena) is the source of this 2007-nucleotide long non-coding RNA. RefSeq lists it as uncharacterized. The transcript has 5 exons. The record is from RefSeq and is a predicted model, not a curated record. NCBI's taxonomy places the organism in Eukaryota, Metazoa, Chordata, Mammalia, Carnivora, Hyaenidae.
GAGUGGACCCCACAGAUCACAAGCAAGAUCCGAGGCACCCUGCAGCAAGGUCUUGGGGUGGCCUGACUGCAGCCCUGCAGAAGGGGAGAACACCCCUAAGGGAGGAGGAGUUGCCAUGCGGGUGAGGCUGUCUCUAGGGACUCCCUGUCUGCUUGUAUGACACCAUCUCACUCAUUCGAGGUGACUUUGGGACAGCUCCCGGAGCAGCACUGAUGGGCGCCUGGAAACAUGACAGUCAGCAAAGAGGGAAAGGGCCAGGGGUCAAGACUCUCUCCCUGACGUUGCAGCCAGUGAGAGGGAAGAGGAAGCAGAGGCAGAGAGAGCUGAAAUUCAGUCAGCCUAACUCUUGGCAAGGAGCUGGGUUGUUUUGCAGUCUAAGUGAGAGGUCACUUUGGGAUAUUUCUUCUACAAUCGGAGGGAAGGAUAUAGAAGAAUCAAGAGGCAAGACUCUUCCGUGGUUCCAGAAGCUUCUAGCCUAUCCCCCCUGUUCUUCUCUUUCUGUCAGCAGCUACUGGGAGAAAGACAGAAACCUAUGGGACCUAGAGGCACCAAAGGGAGGGAGAAAAAGCUGAGUUGUCUGGCCUUUGGAGACCCAGACUAGAAUCUAGCUUUGGCCUCUCUUUGACCUCAACCUUGACCUUAAGAUAACAGGUGCAUUUCAACACAGCCUCCCCUCUUGCCAGCCGGACAUUCCAGCUCACUUCUACACACACACACACACACACACACACACACACAGAUAGCCACAUACAUAUACUGUUCUGCCUAUAGCCAAAUUCAGUCCAAGAAGGAACUGGACUCUUAAUAAACAGUGCUUAGACUAGAACUGUGUGGAAUGGAUGCAUAUUGAAGACCCGGCACAGCAAGGCACAGCCUGGCUCCAUGUUGCACACACUUCUACUCAGAUUUCUCAGAGUCUGGGAUUCUGGGGACUGACCUCACCAUUUGGGGGCAGGACUGGAUCUUGUGUGUGAGUGUAUGUGUUCCCAAAUAUGUCUUUAAUUCUCCUGGAUUUCUUUGGACUAGGGGCGGUGGAGAGUAGACAGCACAGAGAAAGCAGAGGAAGGAAAAGGGAUCAAGAGCUCUAAAGUCUAAUCAGAGUAUGCACGUGAGUGAGAAACUGUACGUGUGAGUGUGUAAGUGUGAAUGGUGUGAGUGUGCAUAGAUGUGUGUGUUUGAUCCAGGAUCUGUGCUCGUUGCCCAGUGUCUUGUUCUGGGUAACAGGGCAAUGCCUGUACUAAUCCUGUGUGGCCUAAAUCUUAGGCUGACUGCUUGACUGACUGACUGAGGGUGGGUCCUUGCUGGAAACCAGGUCAGACUUCUGUAGGUGCCUUCCCUUCCCCCUCCUUUCUCACCAAGCAAACCAUUGCCCAGGGAAGUAACUUCCCUGCCUAGGUGAUGCAAACCUGGGUCAGAAACCCUGGGGAUGCCCCAGAAUCAGGGAAGUAGCCAUGUACCUGGGAGAGACUCAUGCCUUGCCCUCCUAGAAUCUUUUCCUAUUCUCCAAAGGGCCAGCUGGCUUUUCUUCACCCACCCAAAGCACUGAUAUCUUGGGGAGAAUUUCAAGAACAUGGCACAGGAGGCUCUAAGUCUCAGCUGAUUUGUUCUUUGGGGGAACUGGAGAAAGAGAGGGUGAAGCAUGGUCCAGGGCUGGGUUCCAUGGAUGUGUUUUGCCUCAGAUUCUAUCCUUACCUCACUACUCCUUUCUCCAAGGAGAGGAAAUAAUAAGCAUGUAUUAAGCAUCAACUGUAUGCCAGGCACUGUGCUAAGUGCUUUAUAUAUAUUAUCUCAUUUUAUAUACAUAUUGACACAGUAUUGCAGGUCUCAUUCUUAUCUUAGAGAUAGGGAACCUGAAGCUUUGAGACAUUUGUUAGCUUGACCUGGGAAGAGGCAGAUGCUAGCUGAUUUGUCUUAAAGCUGUAUUUAGAGUGAAACACAGCAGAUUGAGAAGAUGUCACUUCAGGGGGCACCUGUUUGGCUCAGUCAUUUGAGCAUCUGACUCUUGAU